Molecule: transfer RNA, 74 nt
Filed under: Kiritimatiellia bacterium
Lineage: Bacteria; Pseudomonadati; Kiritimatiellota; Kiritimatiellia
Also listed under: 1 other name
Description: Kiritimatiellae bacterium tRNA-Cys
Rfam family: tRNA
About the family: Transfer RNA (tRNA) molecules are approximately 80 nucleotides in length. Their secondary structure includes four short double-helical elements and three loops (D, anti-codon, and T loops). Further hydrogen bonds mediate the characteristic L-shaped molecular structure. tRNAs have two regions of fundamental functional importance: the anti-codon, which is responsible for specific mRNA codon recognition, and the 3' end, to which the tRNAs corresponding amino acid is attached (by aminoacyl-tRNA synthetases). tRNAs cope with the degeneracy of the genetic code in two manners: having more than one tRNA (with a specific anti-codon) for a particular amino acid; and 'wobble' base-pairing, i.e. permitting non-standard base-pairing at the 3rd anti-codon position.
Source: RNAcentral
GGCGCGAUGGCCGAGUGGUUAGGCGACGGUCUGCAAAACCGUAUACAUGGGUUCAAUUCCCAUUCGCGCCUCCA